GCUGGGCAUGGUGAUGCACGCCUGUAAUCCCAGCAGCUCAGGAGGCUUGAGGCAGGAGGAUUGAGAGUUCAAAGCCAGCCUCAGCAAAAGGGAGCUGCUAAGCAACUCAGUGAGACCCUGUCUCUA
This 126-nucleotide small RNA is filed under the name Marmota monax (woodchuck). The record is from RNAcentral. Lineage: Eukaryota; Metazoa; Chordata; Mammalia; Rodentia; Sciuridae.